AAUAAAUAUAGUUUUGCACUAUUCACGUUUAACGUUUCACCGUUCGUCUUAUUUAAAAAAAAUUUAUAAUUAAUAUUUUUAUUACUAUUAGAUGAUAAAACAUGAAUAGUACUUUAUGUGUGACUAAAUAUUUUUAAAUUUUUAAUAAAUUUUUAAAUAAGACGGACGGUCAAACAUUGGACACGGAUAUUCCUGACUGCACUUAUU
Non-coding RNA from Oryza barthii, 207 nucleotides. The record is from Rfam. Lineage: Eukaryota; Viridiplantae; Streptophyta; Magnoliopsida; Poales; Poaceae.